GGUUGUGGCUCAGUGGUAAAGUGCUUGCCUAGUAUGCACGAGACACUGGGUUCAAUUCUCAGUACCA
Molecule: transfer RNA, 67 nt
Filed under: Marmota monax (woodchuck)
Lineage: Eukaryota; Metazoa; Chordata; Mammalia; Rodentia; Sciuridae
Description: tRNA.Thr
Source: RNAcentral